Molecule: long non-coding RNA, 1026 nt
Filed under: Heterocephalus glaber (naked mole-rat)
Lineage: Eukaryota; Metazoa; Chordata; Mammalia; Rodentia; Bathyergidae
Description: lncRNA (ENSHGLG00100047104.1)
Source: RNAcentral
UAAAGUUUUGCCCUCAUGAAUUUGGACAUGACCCCAGAUACUGUUUGUGUACUUUACUGGGAUUCCUUGGUACAGCUUUAUAAUUCUGGAAUGACUCUUACUGCUUCUGUCUUUGGAGCAUGGCUGUGCAUAUGAAGCUACUGAGAAGAGUGGCCAAAGCAAUUUGGAAGGAAUGACUCUUCACAAGAUUUAGUUCCGUCUCAUACUUCCAGGGCUGGUAAAAGGAAAUCUCUCAUUUCUAAAAGAGAAUUUCAGCUGUUCUGAACUUCAAAAGGUGAUAUAUUGUGCUUUCAUCAUCAAUCAUCAUCAUCAUCAUCAUCAUCCUGAGAAAGUCUAAAACAUAAUUACAGAACUUUAAGGGUUAUCUACCUUGGUUUUGCAGAAUCUUUUCAUAUAUUCUAUAUUGUUUAUCCAUCCUUGAACAUGAAGAGAUUGAGUUAGGCCUGACAUUAAGUAUAAAUCAGUUUUAAGUAGAAUGACCCCUCCUACGUACCAACAACAACAAAAAAGAUUAUCAGAAAUUUCUGGAAAUACAGCUUUUGUAAAAUAACACUUCUGACAACCAAUCUAACAACUUCAGUGAUGAUAUUGCUUAGGGAAGUUCAGGAGUCUAAUUCUACAGCAAAUUUCAGGUGGAAUGUCCUUCUUAAGGUAGCCACCCACCAUCGCAGAUAAAAAAAUUCAUUCUCCAAGAGAGAAGAGAGACUUGUCCAAGGUCAUUCAGCAAAUGAGUGAGGACUCAGAUCCACCCAACAUUCUUCCCUAAAUCAAAGCUAUGAAAGAUCAUUAGGGAAGAUCUUGCCUAAUCUUCCAAUUCUACUGCACGGAAACAGGAAGUAUGAUUCCAAAGAAUGGGCCUAUGAGUGCACUUCCAAACCACAGCUAAUUUUCCCUAAGAGUCUUCCGGAUGGUGGGUUUUUUGAGUACUUUCCAGAAAAAAAAAGUCAAUUAAUAUCUUACUGUUACUUGUACAUAGAAUUGUAUAUAACUGUUCAAUAAAUUGCAAAACAGAGCCUCUGGCUUCAC